This 425-nucleotide long non-coding RNA is filed under the name Lathyrus oleraceus (garden pea). Its description in RNAcentral is "Pisum sativum (pea) long non-coding RNA (PSAT_LNC037166)". Lineage: Eukaryota; Viridiplantae; Streptophyta; Magnoliopsida; Fabales; Fabaceae. The record is from RNAcentral.
GACUCUGGCAGCGUCUCUUUGGAGUCUGAGGUGGAAGAGUUGUUGUGGUGUUUUGUUGGAGGAGAGUGAGUCUAUGUGGUGUAGUUGAAGUGAGAGAGGUUCAGAGUCGGAUAGAGAUUCUUGUUCUGAUUCUUGUGGCCAUGAGAGGGUUGAAGGGUUAGGGAGAGAGUGAAUAGGUAGAGUUUGGGUUUGGAAAAGAGUGGUGGUGGUGGUGGAUGAGAGUGUGAAGGAGAUAGCUAAUAAUAGGAAGAGAAGGGUUCUUUUGUUGUAGUUCUCUUCCAUUGUAGUGAGAGUGAAGAGAAAAGAGUGUGAUAUGAGAGUAGUAGAAAUGGUGAAUAAAUAAGUAGUGGUACUAGUAGUAAGUAAUAAUUGAAUGAGAAGAGAGUGAGAGUGAGGUUCGGUGCGGUUGUGUUGAAAUGAGUGUG